UGCUAUGUACCUUCUGCAAGCAUGCAAGAUCCUCACAAAGCAGCAUAGGUGUAUACCUCUUAUCAGUUGUGAAUUUCUCAUGGGAACAGUCUGAAGAAAGUUUGAAACGGUCGUUACUGUUCCUCUCUACCAACAACUACCAACAGCUUCUGAUUUUUACCAAGAUAUGAUCCAGCUUGGCAUACACAGUGACUUUGUUGUCUUUUAGACUCCACCAUACUGGUUGCUUCUACUUCAUGACUAUUUGUUACCAGUAAAGACUUUGGAUUACUAUUGUAUACCCUGGAUUUGUCAGUCAUCUUUGUAUGAAUACUAUUACCUUCUAUUAUAUAUAUGUAUUACUUGAGAGUAAUUAAGGGUGAAUAGCAAUUACAUUUGUCAUGAGUAGUCUGUAUGGUCACCUGUGACAUCAGUACGCUACCUUUAGCAGAUUUAUACACUGUCUUACUUUAUUCAACCAUUGUUCCUCUUGGUUUCAGAGGUUUUUUUGAUCACUUAUUUCCAGGUUGUUUCCUGUCACCAUCAGUGAUCCCCAUUUUUUUGUUUGUGCGUCAAGAUAAGAGCAAUUUGUACUUCUGUAAUACCUACUAAAAAGUAAUGUUUUCAGUUAUCACACACAGAAUAUACUGUAAUCUCUGAAGUUUUCCAGGGGCAGAUCAAAACCAGAUCAAGACAUAUGCAAUCUAAUCAUAUACUCCAUCUACAAUUCAAACCCAAUGUUCUAUAUAUUUCUCAAAAUUUCAAAUACACUUAUAGAUUGUAGUUAUCCAGUUCUAAAACUAUCUAGCUAAUUAUAAGAGACUAAUUAUGUUCCACGAUUUGUCAGUCCACAUUGAAAAAACUUUUGUUAUUUCCAAUAUUUUGCUAUUAGUAUUCUUGCUGAAAUAAAAAAAUAUGAUCAAAAAGUGAUAAUGAAUGGGUUUUACAUAUCCUAAUACUUCAUUAAAUAAUUCAAGGGUACCUUUAUUGUUAUCUUGAAUAUUGUACUUAGUAUCUGUUUCCAAAGGUUCUGUCAAAUGCAUCUGCUUGUUCUGACCCACAAUAUGAGAACUUAUAAAUCUAUAAACUAUUUUUCAUCUUUAUGGGAUUCAAAUAAAAUCUUGUAUAUUUUGUUAGUCAGUUUGCCAAAAUUAUACACAUGGCAAUAUCGUUCUUUCUUUCAAACUAUCAGUCAAUAUUUCCUUGUGUAUCUGCUGUCAAAAAUCUUUACUAUAGCUUUACAAUAAUGAAUGUCUAUGUAAUUAAAUAUUUUCAACACACAGAGAUAUAGUUAGGAAACAUCCUAUUAUCUGCUUGGCUAAUAAACAUUUCACAUUU
This is a long non-coding RNA of Hemicordylus capensis (graceful crag lizard), 1317 nucleotides long. RefSeq lists it as uncharacterized. The record is from RefSeq and is a predicted model, not a curated record. NCBI's taxonomy places the organism in Eukaryota, Metazoa, Chordata, Lepidosauria, Squamata, Cordylidae. The transcript has 2 exons.